UGGAAUAGCUCAGUUGGAAGAUCAUGAGACUCUUAAUCUCAGAGUCAUAGGUUUGAGCCCCACAUUGGAUGAA
Podarcis lilfordi (Lilford's wall lizard) is the source of this 73-nucleotide non-coding RNA. The record is from the annotation of a GenBank genome assembly. Lineage: Eukaryota; Metazoa; Chordata; Lepidosauria; Squamata; Lacertidae.